Molecule: non-coding RNA, 23 nt
Filed under: Cricetulus griseus (Chinese hamster)
Lineage: Eukaryota; Metazoa; Chordata; Mammalia; Rodentia; Cricetidae
Source: RNAcentral
UUUCCUGAACUGCCCUAGUGUGG